RNAcentral lists this transfer RNA (65 nucleotides) under Dipodomys ordii (Ord's kangaroo rat). It matches the Rfam family "tRNA". From Rfam's summary of the family: Transfer RNA (tRNA) molecules are approximately 80 nucleotides in length. Their secondary structure includes four short double-helical elements and three loops (D, anti-codon, and T loops). The record is from Rfam by way of RNAcentral. Lineage: Eukaryota; Metazoa; Chordata; Mammalia; Rodentia; Heteromyidae.
GGUGGCUCAGUGGUAGAGCGCUUGCCUCGCAUGCAUGAGGUCCUGGGUUUGAUUUCUCAGUACCA